Molecule: ribosomal RNA, 459 nt
Filed under: uncultured bacterium
Lineage: Bacteria
Description: partial 16S ribosomal RNA
Rfam family: Bacterial small subunit ribosomal RNA
Source: RNAcentral
CCUACGGGAGGCAGCAGUGAGGAAUAUUGGUCAAUGGACGAGAGUCUGAACCAGCCAAGUAGCGUGAAGGAUGACUGCCCUAUGGGUUGUAAACUUCUUUUAUAAAGGAAUAAAACGACUCACGUGUGCCUUUUUGCAUGUACUUUAUGAAUAAGGAUCGGCUAACUCCGUGCCAGCAGCCGGGUAAUACGGAGGAUCCGAGCGUUAUCCGGAUUUAUUUGGGUUAAAGGGAGCGUAGAUGGGUUGUUAAGUCAGUUGUGAAAGUUUGCGGCUCAACCGUAAAAUUGCAACGGAUACUGGCAGGCUUGAGUACAGAGGAGGCAGGCGGAAUUCGUGGUGUAGCGGUGAAAUGCUUAGAUAUGACGAAGAACCCCGAUUGCGAAGGCAGCUUACUAAAGUGUGACUGACGUUGAUGCUCGAAAGUGUGGGUAUCGAACAGGAUUAGAUACCCUUGUAGUC